Molecule: ribosomal RNA, 476 nt
Filed under: uncultured bacterium
Lineage: Bacteria
Description: SSU rRNA
Rfam family: Bacterial small subunit ribosomal RNA
Source: RNAcentral
AGAAUCAACGCUGGCGGCGUGCCUAACACAUGCAAGUCGAACGAGAAAGUGGAGCAAUCCAUGAGUAAAGUGGCGACCGGGUGAGUAACACGUGACCAAUCUACCCUUGAGUGGGGGAUAACCUCGGGAAACCGGGGCUAAUACCGCAUAAUAUCCUUGGAACGGAAGUACUGGGGAUCAAAGGAGCAAUUCGCUUAAGGAGGAGGUCGCGGCUGAUUAGCUAGUUGGCGGGGUAAUGGCCCACCAAGGCAAAGAUCGGUAGCCGGCCUGAGAGGGCGCACGGCCACACUGGAACUGAAACACGGUCCAGACUCCUACGGGAGGCAGCAGUGGGGAAUUUUGCGCAAUGGGGGAAACCCUGACGCAGCAACGCCGCGUGGAGGAUGAAGUCCCUUGGGACGUAAACUCCUUUCGACCCGGACGAUAAUGACGGUACGGGUGGAAGAAGCCCCGGCUAACUUCGUGCUAGCAGCCGC